GCUGGAAUUGCUAGUAAUGGCAGGUCAGCAUACUGCCGUGAAUACGUUCCCGGGCCCUUGUACACACCGCCCGUCACACCAUGAGAGUUGGAAAUACCCGAAGCCUGUGAGCUAACUGUAAAGAGGCAGCAGUCGAAGGUAGAGCCAAUGAUUGGGGUGAAGUCGUAACAAGGUAUC
RNAcentral lists this ribosomal RNA (177 nucleotides) under uncultured bacterium. RNAcentral describes it as "partial 16S ribosomal RNA". It matches the Rfam family "Bacterial small subunit ribosomal RNA", at positions 1325 to 1500 of the family's 1533-position model. The record is from RNAcentral.